RNAcentral lists this ribosomal RNA (433 nucleotides) under uncultured bacterium. RNAcentral's name for it is "partial 16S ribosomal RNA". It matches the Rfam family "Bacterial small subunit ribosomal RNA", at positions 29 to 507 of the family's 1533-position model. The record is from RNAcentral.
AACGAACGCUGGCGGCAUGCCUAACACAUGCAAGUCGAACGAGACCUUCGGGUCUAGUGGCGCACGGGUGCGUAACGCGUGGGAACCUGCCCUUAGGUUCGGAAUAACUCCCCGAAAGGGGUGCUAAUACCGGAUAAUGUCUUCGGACCAAAGAUUUAUCGCCUUUGGAUGGGCCCGCGUUGGAUUAGCUAGUUGGUAGGGUAAAAGCCUACCAAGGCGACGAUCCAUAGCUGGUCUGAGAGGAUGAUCAGCCACACUGGGACUGAGACACGGCCCAGACUCCUACGGGAGGCAGCAGUGGGGAAUAGUGGAAAAUGGGCGAAAGCCUGAUCCAGCAAUGCCGCGUGAGUGAUGAAGGCAUUAGGGUUGUAAAGCUCUUUUACCCGGGAUGAUAAUGACAGUACCGGGAGAAUAAGCUCCGGCUAACUCCGUG